This 253-nucleotide ribosomal RNA is filed under the name uncultured bacterium. RNAcentral's name for it is "partial 16S ribosomal RNA". It matches the Rfam family "Bacterial small subunit ribosomal RNA", at positions 524 to 776 of the family's 1533-position model. The record is from RNAcentral.
GACAGAGGUGCCAAGCGUUAGGCGGAAUCACUGGGCUUAAAGCGUGUGUAGGCGGAAUGGUAAGUACCUUGUGAAAUCCCACGGCUCAACCGUGGAACUGCUUGGUAUACUGCUUUUCUUGAGCCACUUAGGGGCAACCGGAACAAACGGUAGAGCGGUGAAAUGCGUAGAUAUCGUUUGGAACGCCAAUGGUGAAAACAGGUUGCUGGGAGUGUGCUGACGCUGAGACACGAAAGCCAGGGGAGCAAACGGG